RNAcentral lists this ribosomal RNA (345 nucleotides) under Triticum aestivum (bread wheat). Its description in RNAcentral is "partial small subunit ribosomal RNA". Lineage: Eukaryota; Viridiplantae; Streptophyta; Magnoliopsida; Poales; Poaceae. The record is from RNAcentral.
AUGGUGGGUUGCGUUCUGGGUACAGACACUUGUCCGAACAAUAUAUGGCAAUAUUUCUCAUGGUGCUAUGUUUUCCUUCCUGAUGGGGGGAAGUUUUACACAUUUGUGCUAGCAGCCAUAUGUUGGGCUAUAUGGAAUUGCCGCAACCAAGCUACCUUUGAGCAGAAAAAAUUAAAGAAACCUUUUGCUGUGAUUUAUUCUGCAUGUGGCUUUAUCUCUUAUUGGGCAGGGAUGAUGAAUGGAGCGGACCGGGAGGUGAUGGAGAGAGGAGCCAAAAUGCUAAGGGCCAGCGCAUCAAACAUGAUGAGGAUCUACGCGGCAUCGGGUGAGAUGGCGCAGGAUUGA